This 253-nucleotide ribosomal RNA is filed under the name uncultured bacterium. RNAcentral describes it as "partial 16S ribosomal RNA". It matches the Rfam family "Bacterial small subunit ribosomal RNA", at positions 524 to 776 of the family's 1533-position model. The record is from RNAcentral.
GACAGAGGUCCCGAGCGUUAGGCGGAAUCACUGGGCUUAAAGCGUGUGUAGGCGGACUUCUAAGUGCCUUGUGAAAUCCCACGGCUCAACCGUGGAACUGCUGGGCAUACUGGUUGUCUUGGGCCAUCUAGGGGCGAGCGGAACAAACGGUGGAGCGGUGAAAUGCGUAGAUAUCGUUUGGAACGCCAAUGGUGAAAACAGCUCGCUGGGGAUGUGCCGACGCUGAGACACGAAAGCCAGGGGAGCGAACGGG